GAUGAACGCUGGCGGCGUGCCUAAUACAUGCAAGUCGAGCGAACGGACGAGAAUCUUGCUUCUCUGAUGUUAGCGGCGGACGGGUGAGUAACACGUGGAUAACCUACCUAUAAGACUGGGAUAACUUCGGGAAACCGUAGCUAAUACCGGAUAUAUUUUGAACCGCAUGGUUCAAAAGUGAAAGACGGUCUUGCUGUCACUUAUAGAUGGAUCCGCGCUGCAUUAGCUAGUUGGUAAGGUAACGGCUUACCAAGGCAACGAUGCAUAGCCGACCUGAGAGGGUGAUCGGCCACACUGGAACUGGAACACGGUCAAGACUCCUACGGGAGGCAGCAGUAGGGAAUCUUCCGCAAUGGGCGAAAGCCUGACGGAGCAACGCCGCGUGAGUGAUGAAGGUCUUCGGAUCGUAAAACUCUGUUAUUAGGGAAGAACAUAUGUGUAAGUAACUGUGCACAUCUUGACGGUACCUAAUCAGAAAGCAACGGCUAACUACGUG
This 496-nucleotide ribosomal RNA is filed under the name uncultured bacterium. Its description in RNAcentral is "partial 16S ribosomal RNA". It matches the Rfam family "Bacterial small subunit ribosomal RNA", at positions 28 to 507 of the family's 1533-position model. The record is from RNAcentral.